CCUCCCCGACUGUUUACAAAAACACAGCACCUUUGCCAACUCGUAGACGGAGAGUAUAAGGUGUGACGCCUGCCCGGUGCUCGAAGGUUAAGAGGAUGCGUCAGUCGCAAGAUGAAGCGUUGAAUUGAAGCCCGAGUAAACGGCGGCCGUAACUAUAACGGUCCUAAGGUAGCGAAAUUCCUUGUCGGUUAAAUACCGACCUGCAUGAAUGGCGUAACGAGAUGGGAGCUGUCUCAACCAGAGAUUCAGUGAAAUUGUAGUGGAGGUGAAAAUUCCUCCUACCCGCGGCAAGACGGAAAGACCCCGUGGACCUUUACUACAACUUAGCACUGCUAAUGGGAAUAUCAUGCGCAGGAUAGGUGGGAGGCUUUGAAGUAAGGGCUUUGGCUCUUAUGGAGCCAUCCUUGAGAUACCACCCUU
RNAcentral lists this ribosomal RNA (420 nucleotides) under Helicobacter pylori. RNAcentral describes it as "bacterial LSU rRNA". It matches the Rfam family "Bacterial large subunit ribosomal RNA", at positions 1791 to 2207 of the family's 2925-position model. Lineage: Bacteria; Pseudomonadati; Campylobacterota; Epsilonproteobacteria; Campylobacterales; Helicobacteraceae. The record is from RNAcentral.